AACGAACGCUGGCGGCAUGCCUAACACAUGCAAGUCGAACGAGACCUUCGGGUCUAGUGGCGCACGGGUGCGUAACGCGUGGGAACCUGCCCUUAGGUUCGGAAUAACUCCCCGAAAGGGGUGCUAAUACCGGAUAAUGUCUUCGGACCAAAGAUUUAUCGCCUUUGGAUGGGCCCGAGUUGGAUUAGCUAGUUGGUAGGGUAAAAGCCUACCAAGGCGACGAUCCAUAGCUGGUCUGAGAGGAGGAUCAGCCACACUGGGAUUGAGACACGGCCCAGACUCCAACGGGAGGCGGCGGUGGGGAAAAUUGGACAUGGGCGAAAGCCUGAUCCAGCAAUGCCGCGUGAGUGAUGAAGGCCUUAGGGUUGUAAAGCUCUUUUACCCGGGAUGAUAAUGACAGUACCGGGAGAAUAAGCUCCGGCUAACUCCGUG
RNAcentral lists this ribosomal RNA (432 nucleotides) under uncultured bacterium. RNAcentral's name for it is "partial 16S ribosomal RNA". It matches the Rfam family "Bacterial small subunit ribosomal RNA", at positions 29 to 507 of the family's 1533-position model. The record is from RNAcentral.